Molecule: long non-coding RNA, 1061 nt
Filed under: Olea europaea (common olive)
Lineage: Eukaryota; Viridiplantae; Streptophyta; Magnoliopsida; Lamiales; Oleaceae
Description: long non-coding RNA (OEUR_LNC012607)
Source: RNAcentral
GAAAAUUGUGGUUAUCGUCUGUAACAUUUUUAUAAUACCUUUGGAACCAAAAGAAAGCAACGUAGCAGAGCAGAGCCACCAGCUACAGCUUACAACUCAGCAACUCCACCUUCAUUUGCUAGGUAAAUUCUCCGUUUUUUCUUUUCCUCACACAGUAGAUUUCUCUAAAACCACUCGUUUUUGUUUACUUCUUUCAAAUUGCACUUUAUUGAAUACCUGACGAGUUGUUUUGUUAAUUAUUACAAAAUCACCCCAUUUGGCUUUUCAGUUAAUUUUGAAAAGGGUUUUUUUUGGGGUUCUUUUGAGUGAGGUAUAUUGGAGGCUAGUAUGUUGUUGAGUGAAUUUCUGUUUAAUUUGUUAUGGCUUUAGGUUCUUCUUCUCUAGAUCGAGCUGUUUUGUUUGCUUUUGAAUUUGUUAAGACUUCAAAUGUGAACAUUCUUCUUUUAAGGAGCUUCUGAGAUCUAUCAAAAUAUAUUUCUUUGGUAUGUUUUUAUUAGUACCAACCCUUUAAUAAUUUAUUAUUGCCUUUUUUUUUUCUUUUUGUGAUGCAGAUAAGGAGCUCAAGUUGUAGAUAUUCGUGCCGCAGAGAAAAAGGAAUGGAAAACUUGAAUCAAAGAGUUUUAAUAUCUCCCUGAUCAGCACUCACAAUAAGAAAUUCAACCCCAAGAUUUUUCCUUUCAAUCGAAAAGAGCUGGUUCUGUUGCUGUUAUCAUUAUGAGUUCUUCAAUUGAUUGAGAUUUUGGACUCUUUAAUAUAGUGACGAUGAUGGGAUAAUAAUUUAAGUUCCUUCCACGGAUUUGAGCUUAAUACAAUAAAUCCCACUUGGAAUUUCUUCACUGCUACUACUGCAAAUAAGUUACUGCAGGGGAACUAUCCUAUCUACAAUGGCUGGGAAUUGAAUCCCAUCUCUCGGGGAGAGGCUGCUUCUAUUUCAAGCUAAAAUGAUUGACCAGUUUAUUAAUUUUGUCAUUCGCCCACCCAGGUACAUUUAUCUAUGAAACUUGUUCUCUAAUUUUUGAAUCUUUUUCAGUAGUGCUGUUUGAGUUUUUAUUCUGUACUGU